Molecule: ribosomal RNA, 503 nt
Filed under: Chirocentrus sp.
Lineage: Eukaryota; Metazoa; Chordata; Actinopteri; Clupeiformes; Chirocentridae
Description: partial 12S ribosomal RNA
Rfam family: Bacterial small subunit ribosomal RNA
Source: RNAcentral
GCUGUAAACCAAGGCACCCCCCUACAAAAGGUGCCCGCCCGGGAACUACGAGCAACAGCUUAAAACCUAAAGGACUUGGCGGUGCUUCAGACCCCCCUAGAGGAGCCUGUUCUAGAACCGAUGAUCCCCGUUUAACCUCACCACCCCUUGCCCCCAACCGCCUAUAUACCGCCGUCGCCAGCUUACCCUGUAAAGGAACAAAAGUAAGCACAAUGAGAAUUACCUCAAAACGUCAGGCCGAGGUGUAGCGAACGGGGUGGGAAGAAAUGGGCUACAUUACCUGGGCCAGGAAAACUUACGGAAAGCCAGUUGAAACACUGACUCGAAGGUGGAUUUAGCAGUAAGAGGGGAAUAGAGAGCCCCCCUGAAGCCGGCUCUGAAGCGCGCACACACCGCCCGUCACUCUCCCCGACAACCAAGCUCCAGUCCUUAACCCAACUAACCUCACAAGGGGAGGCAAGUCGUAACAUGGUAAGUGUACCGGAAGGUGUACUUGGAACAAU